RNAcentral lists this transfer RNA (57 nucleotides) under Bos taurus (domestic cattle). It matches the Rfam family "tRNA", at positions 8 to 63 of the family's 71-position model. Rfam says of the family: Transfer RNA (tRNA) molecules are approximately 80 nucleotides in length. Their secondary structure includes four short double-helical elements and three loops (D, anti-codon, and T loops). Lineage: Eukaryota; Metazoa; Chordata; Mammalia; Artiodactyla; Bovidae. RNAcentral also lists the same sequence under 5 other names. The record is from Rfam by way of RNAcentral.
UGGCUCAGAUGGUUAAGAAUCUGCCUGCAGAGCAGGAGACCCAGGUUCAAUUCCUGG